CUGACCUAUGAAUUGACAGCCAGUGCUCUUGUCUCCCUCUGGCUGCCAAUUCCAUAGGUCA
Molecule: microRNA precursor, 61 nt
Organism: Equus asinus (donkey)
Lineage: Eukaryota; Metazoa; Chordata; Mammalia; Perissodactyla; Equidae
Gene: MIR192
Product: microRNA 192
Source: Ensembl